AAGAAAGACAUAGUGGUUAUGGUGUUGGCUUGAAACUGACUACAGGAGGUUCGAUUCCUUCCUUUCUUG
Molecule: transfer RNA, 69 nt
Filed under: Mesoplodon mirus (True's beaked whale)
Lineage: Eukaryota; Metazoa; Chordata; Mammalia; Artiodactyla; Ziphiidae
Description: tRNA-Ser
Rfam family: tRNA
About the family: Transfer RNA (tRNA) molecules are approximately 80 nucleotides in length. Their secondary structure includes four short double-helical elements and three loops (D, anti-codon, and T loops).
Source: RNAcentral